Molecule: ribosomal RNA, 1489 nt
Filed under: Lactiplantibacillus pentosus
Lineage: Bacteria; Bacillati; Bacillota; Bacilli; Lactobacillales; Lactobacillaceae
Description: bacterial SSU rRNA
Rfam family: Bacterial small subunit ribosomal RNA
Source: RNAcentral
GACGAACGCUGGCGGCGUGCCUAAUACAUGCAAGUCGAACGAACUCUGGUAUUGAUUGGUGCUUGCAUCAUGAUUUACAUUUGAGUGAGUGGCGAACUGGUGAGUAACACGUGGGAAACCUGCCCAGAAGCGGGGGAUAACACCUGGAAACAGAUGCUAAUACCGCAUAACAACUUGGACCGCAUGGUCCGAGUUUGAAAGAUGGCUUCGGCUAUCACUUUUGGAUGGUCCCGCGGCGUAUUAGCUAGAUGGUGGGGUAACGGCUCACCAUGGCAAUGAUACGUAGCCGACCUGAGAGGGUAAUCGGCCACAUUGGGACUGAGACACGGCCCAAACUCCUACGGGAGGCAGCAGUAGGGAAUCUUCCACAAUGGACGAAAGUCUGAUGGAGCAACGCCGCGUGAGUGAAGAAGGGUUUCGGCUCGUAAAACUCUGUUGUUAAAGAAGAACAUAUCUGAGAGUAACUGUUCAGGUAUUGACGGUAUUUAACCAGAAAGCCACGGCUAACUACGUGCCAGCAGCCGCGGUAAUACGUAGGUGGCAAGCGUUGUCCGGAUUUAUUGGGCGUAAAGCGAGCGCAGGCGGUUUUUUAAGUCUGAUGUGAAAGCCUUCGGCUCAACCGAAGAAGUGCAUCGGAAACUGGGAAACUUGAGUGCAGAAGAGGACAGUGGAACUCCAUGUGUAGCGGUGAAAUGCGUAGAUAUAUGGAAGAACACCAGUGGCGAAGGCGGCUGUCUGGUCUGUAACUGACGCUGAGGCUCGAAAGUAUGGGUAGCAAACAGGAUUAGAUACCCUGGUAGUCCAUACCGUAAACGAUGAAUGCUAAGUGUUGGAGGGUUUCCGCCCCUCAGUGCUGCAGCUAACGCAUUAAGCAUUCCGCCUGGGGAGUACGGCCGCAAGGCUGAAACUCAAAGGAAUUGACGGGGGCCCGCACAAGCGGUGGAGCAUGUGGUUUAAUUCGAAGCUACGCGAAGAACCUUACCAGGUCUUGACAUACUAUGCAAAUCUAAGAGAUUAGACGUUCCCUUCGGGGACAUGGAUACAGGUGGUGCAUGGUUGUCGUCAGCUCGUGUCGUGAGAUGUUGGGUUAAGUCCCGCAACGAGCGCAACCCUUAUUAUCAGUUGCCAGCAUUAAGUUGGGCACUCUGGUGAGACUGCCGGUGACAAACCGGAGGAAGGUGGGGAUGACGUCAAAUCAUCAUGCCCCUUAUGACCUGGGCUACACACGUGCUACAAUGGAUGGUACAACGAGUUGCGAACUCGCGAGAGUAAGCUAAUCUCUUAAAGCCAUUCUCAGUUCGGAUUGUAGGCUGCAACUCGCCUACAUGAAGUCGGAAUCGCUAGUAAUCGCGGAUCAGCAUGCCGCGGUGAAUACGUUCCCGGGCCUUGUACACACCGCCCGUCACACCAUGAGAGUUUGUAACACCCAAAGUCGGUGGGGUAACCUUUUAGGAACCAGCCGCCUAAGGUGGGACAGAUGAUUAGGGUG